This 539-nucleotide long non-coding RNA is filed under the name Homo sapiens (human). Its description in RNAcentral is "HSALNT0061870". Lineage: Eukaryota; Metazoa; Chordata; Mammalia; Primates; Hominidae. The record is from RNAcentral.
UUGCAAUGAAGCAUCUGCCGCUCACUGUUUUUUUGUUAUUUUUUUUCCUGAUUACUCCAAUUCAAAAACAUCAUCCUACCAGCUCUUUUAGUUGUUAAAUAUCCCUGUGCUUGUGGCUACAUUUCUUUGCACUGGAGAAAUGAUCUCAUUAACAAACUAGUUCUGUGCGUCCUUAACACUGAGGCCCCUCGCCUGCAGCUGGAGGCAGCUCUCUGUUCAGCCCCAGUGCAGAGUGACACAGACAGGCGACAGCGUCGCUGAGCACCAACUUCUAUUCCACGGAGGCAGACAGCGAAAACCAUUUCAUAACCAUGGCAAGGCAUGAGAGAAGCACAGGGUAGCUGCAAAGUUUUGGAAAAGACCUCUGCAACAACUGGAAGCACAGUGUACCCAAGUGAAUCUAUGUGCCUAACAUGGCUUGCAUGCUCCCAGCUUCUGCACGUGAUGCAUCUGCUAUUAACAUUCAGAGAUUCACCCUGAAAAUGAAGGCAACUGUUUGGAGAACAAUGUAAAAUGAUGAGAAUAGACCAUCCUAUGAC